Molecule: ribosomal RNA, 253 nt
Filed under: uncultured bacterium
Lineage: Bacteria
Description: partial 16S ribosomal RNA
Rfam family: Bacterial small subunit ribosomal RNA
Source: RNAcentral
UACGUAGGGGGCAAGCGUUGUCCGGAUUUAUUGGGCGUAAAGAGCGUGUAGGCGGCCAUUCAGGUCAGCUGUGAAAACUCGAGGCUCAACCUCGAGACGUCGGUUGAAACCGUUUGGCUAGAGUCCGGAAGAGGAGAGUGGAAUUCCCGGUGUAGCGGUGAAAUGCGCAGAUAUCAGGAGGAACACCCGUAGCGAAGGCGGCACUCUGGGCCGAUACUGACACUGAGGAGCGAAAGCGUGGGGAGCGAACAGG